Molecule: ribosomal RNA, 253 nt
Filed under: uncultured bacterium
Lineage: Bacteria
Description: partial 16S ribosomal RNA
Rfam family: Bacterial small subunit ribosomal RNA
Source: RNAcentral
UACGUAGGGUGCAAGCGUUAAUCGGAAUUACUGGGCGUAAAGCGUGCGCAGGCGGUUUUGUAAGACAGGCGUGAAAUCCCCGGGCUUAACCUGGGAAUGGCGCUUGUGACUGCAGUGCUGGAGUGCGGCAGAGGGGGAUGGAAUUCCGCGUGUAGCAGUGAAAUGCGUAGAUAUGCGGAGGAACACCGAUGGCGAAGGCAAUCCCCUGGGCCUGCACUGACGCUCAUGCACGAAAGCGUGGGGAGCAAACAGG